Molecule: small RNA, 124 nt
Filed under: Marmota monax (woodchuck)
Lineage: Eukaryota; Metazoa; Chordata; Mammalia; Rodentia; Sciuridae
Source: RNAcentral
GCCGGGUGUGGUGGUACAUGCCUGUAAUCCCAGUGACUGAGGAGGCUGAGGCAGUAGUAUCACAGUUUGAGGCCAACUUCAUCAACUUAGUGAGGCCCUCAGUAACAGUGAGACUCUGUCUCAA